AGAGCGAACGCUGGCGGCAGGCCUAACACAUGCAAGUCGAACGGACCCUUCGGGGUUAGUGGCGGACGGGUGAGUAACACGUGGGAACGUGCCUUUAGGUUCGGAAUAGCUCCUGGAAACGGGUGGUAAUGCCGAAUGUGCCCUUCGGGGGAAAGAUUUAUC
This 162-nucleotide ribosomal RNA is filed under the name uncultured soil bacterium. RNAcentral describes it as "partial 16S ribosomal RNA". It matches the Rfam family "Bacterial small subunit ribosomal RNA", at positions 26 to 213 of the family's 1533-position model. The record is from RNAcentral.